UGGCACUACCACUCACCACUU
Molecule: non-coding RNA, 21 nt
Organism: Caenorhabditis elegans
Lineage: Eukaryota; Metazoa; Nematoda; Chromadorea; Rhabditida; Rhabditidae
Source: Ensembl